Molecule: long non-coding RNA, 432 nt
Organism: Bubalus bubalis (water buffalo)
Lineage: Eukaryota; Metazoa; Chordata; Mammalia; Artiodactyla; Bovidae
Exons: 3
Source: RefSeq, a predicted model, not a curated record
UUGAGUUGGUGAUGCCAUCCAACCAUCUUUUAGGAUUUGAAAUAGCUCAACGGGAAUUCCAUCACCUCUAGUUUUGUUUGUAGUGAUGCUUCCUCAGGCCCACUUGACUUCGCAUUCCAUGACGUCUUUUGGAAAGGCCGAAGCAAUGCCGCCAUUGUUGGAACCAGCCUGGAACCUGUGGUGGAGCUCGACUGAAGACCCAGCAGGCCAGCUUUGAAGAAAACCUGGAGAGAGGGAAAGUCACACAUCAUCCCCAGACUACAGGAGAGACAGACGUGGCAGACGGUGCUUGGAUCAGCUACUCUUUCUAGUAAUGACUGCUGAAGCAAGAUUGGUAAGCUUUUCUCCUGCAAAGUUUCUGCUAACUCACAUCAAAGAUCUCAAAGCCAGCAAUGUCCAAGACCCCGAUGAAGUACUGCCUGGGCUGCUUAG